GCCUUCGUGGUCUAGUAGUAUGAUUCGCCCUUCGGGAUUUGUCCCGUAAGCUUUAUGUGGCCUGCUUACAUAAGAAUAGCUUACGUAAUCAAUUGGGUGAGGUCCUGGGUUCAAUUCCCAGCGAGGGCC
Ceratobasidium sp. 423 is the source of this 129-nucleotide non-coding RNA. The record is from the annotation of a GenBank genome assembly. Lineage: Eukaryota; Fungi; Basidiomycota; Agaricomycetes; Cantharellales; Ceratobasidiaceae.